This 424-nucleotide ribosomal RNA is filed under the name uncultured Peptostreptococcaceae bacterium. Its description in RNAcentral is "bacterial SSU rRNA". It matches the Rfam family "Bacterial small subunit ribosomal RNA", at positions 354 to 796 of the family's 1533-position model. The record is from RNAcentral. Lineage: Bacteria; Bacillati; Bacillota; Clostridia; Peptostreptococcales; Peptostreptococcaceae.
GUGGGGAAUAUUGCACAAUGGGCGAAAGCCUGAUGCAGCAACGCCGCGUGAGCGAUGAAGGCCUUCGGGUCGUAAAGCUCUGUCCUCAAGGAAGAUAAUGACGGUACUUGAGGAGGAAGCCCCGGCUAACUACGUGCCAGCAGCCGCGGUAAUACGUAGGGGGCUAGCGUUAUCCGGAAUUACUGGGCGUAAAGGGUGCGUAGGCGGUCUUUCAAGCCAGAAGUGAAAGGCUACGGCUCAACCGUAGUAAGCUUUUGGAACUGUAGGACUUGAGUGCAGGAGAGGAGAGUGGAAUUCCUAGUGUAGCGGUGAAAUGCGUAGAUAUUAGGAGGAACACCAGUAGCGAAGGCGGCUCUCUGGACUGUAACUGACGCUGAGGCACGAAAGCGUGGGGAGCAAACAGGAUUAGAUACCCUUGUAGUCC